This is a long non-coding RNA of Lepidothrix coronata (blue-crowned manakin), 579 nucleotides long. RefSeq lists it as uncharacterized. NCBI's taxonomy places the organism in Eukaryota, Metazoa, Chordata, Aves, Passeriformes, Pipridae. The record is from RefSeq and is a predicted model, not a curated record. The transcript has 3 exons.
UGCACGCUCUGUGUAGGAGUAACACAUCUUCUUUCUCCCCUCACGCUCUCCUGUGGAAAUUAAGAACAGUCUCCGGUGAUGUAAGCCCAUCUGCAAAAUCAGUCCAGAGAUGUACGCCGGCACAGAUCCUUACUACUGCCUACAUUUCCUACCAGCUCUUCAGCUGCUCUCUCCCUGUUUCCUGGGCCUCAUCUGGACAAUUCUGAUAUCUACCCUUCCCUCCCUGCGAGACCACAUCUGCUGUUGCAUACAGAGUGCUAAUCCCACAUGGAUUCCUCCCUGAAAACAAAAUCUGAGAUGGAAAAGGUCAUAGUACAUCACUCAUGCAGAUGCUUGACCCUGGCCAGUGCCCAGCAUUGUAGCUCCAAGGUGAUAUGCUGAACACUCCCCAAAUGGUGACCCAAGUGACACAGACACACAGUCCAGGCAAAAAGGACCGAGUGGAUCACUGAAAAAAAUCCUGGAAGUAUUCCUGAAUGUUUGCACUGACCUCCAGAAUAAACAGCCAUCUCCCUGCAAGUUAAGCAUUUUCAUCAGUCAGAGGGUGUAGCUCAGUAACUGCUGUGACAGUGCCUGUGU